GAUCCUGGCUCAAGAUGAACGCUGGCGGCGUGCUUACACAUGCAAGUCGAGCGAAGCAUGUAUGCGGAAGUUUUCGGAUGGAAGCAGAUAUGACUGAGCGGCGGACGGGCGAGUAACGCGUGGGUAACCUGCCUCAUACAGGGGGAUAACAGUUAGAAAUGACUGCUAAUACCGCAUAAGCGCACAGGACCGCAUGGUCAAGUGUGAAAAACUCCGGUGGUAUGAGAUGGACCCGCGUCUGAUUAGCUGGUUGGUGAGGUAACGGCCCACCAAGGCGACGAUCAGUAGCCGACCUGAGAGACUGAUCGGCCACAUUGGGACUGAGACACGGCCCAAACUCCUACGGGAGGCAGCAGUAGGGAAUCUUCCACAAUGGACGAAAGUCUGAUGGAGCAACGCCGCGUGAGUGAAGAAAGGUUUCGGCUCGUAAAGCUCUGUUGGUAGUGAAGAAAGAUAGAGGUAGUAACUGGCCUUUAUUUGACGGUAAUUACUUAGAAAGUCACGGCUAACUACGUGCCAGCAGCCGCGGUAAUACGUAAGUGGCAAGCGUUGUCCGGAUUUAUUGGGCGUAAAGCGAGUGCAGGCGGUUCAAUAAGUCUG
RNAcentral lists this ribosomal RNA (600 nucleotides) under uncultured bacterium. Its description in RNAcentral is "bacterial SSU rRNA". It matches the Rfam family "Bacterial small subunit ribosomal RNA", at positions 15 to 591 of the family's 1533-position model. The record is from RNAcentral.